AUACUUACCUGGCAGGGGAGACACGAUGGUCAGGCAGGUGGUUUUCCUGGGUUGAGGCUUGUCCAUUGCACUGCGGAUGUGCUGACCCCUGCGAUUUCCCCAGAAGCGGGUAACUCGACUGCAUAAUUUGUGGUAGUGGGGACUGUGUUUGUGCUCUCCCCUG
Non-coding RNA from Ailuropoda melanoleuca (giant panda), 163 nucleotides. The record is from Rfam. NCBI's taxonomy places the organism in Eukaryota, Metazoa, Chordata, Mammalia, Carnivora, Ursidae.